UGACUGCACCUCAUGGCCUGC
RNAcentral lists this non-coding RNA (21 nucleotides) under Mus musculus (house mouse). Lineage: Eukaryota; Metazoa; Chordata; Mammalia; Rodentia; Muridae. The record is from RNAcentral.